GCCCUCGGUCCCACCACCCGCCCGGCGGCUGGAGUCUCUGCUGCCCGAGGUCCUGAUGGGCACCCGGCGUGCCUGGUUUCUUAAUCGAGUUCCGUCUGCUCAGCUGUUGCACGCUCUGUGAACCAGCCCUGUCAGCACCGCCCUGACUCCUCCGGGCCGAUUGUGGGCCUCCGGUUCCCCAUCUGUGGAAAGGGGAGAGUCCAGGAAGUGGCCUCCGAAGUCCCUGCGGGCCGCUCGCGGCGCGGAGGCCACAAGAGCCGGGCGAGAGUAGACACUCUCACCCUGGACUGAUGCCCCGAAGUUGCCUCGGGGAUCUCCCCACCCCGGCGACCCCGCUCUACCGAGCGGCUGCUCCGGGAGUCGGGGCAGCGCCCUACUUUGCUCGGCCCCCACCUGCCCCGGCCGCGUCCUAGUACUCGCGCCGGGACGCGCGGAGCCCCAACGUCCUCUGCCCGCCCCGCCCCAGCCCCGCCUGGCUGGCGCCGACCGCGGCCCGGGUGGGGCUCGCAGGCUGCAGAGGAAGGACCGGGCGGAGGGGUUGCCCGGCUUCCUACCCGCUAGAUGUGGCCUGGGGAGCUGCGUUUUGUUCUUGGGAAUACAGAUUCCCAGGCACCGCCUGAUUCGCGGUAGGGGCUCAAUAAAUAUUUGCUGAAUGGAUGAAUGAAUAUCCAUUGGUUAAGGGUUAGGAUUGGUAAUUAAGUUAGAACACGACUGUAUAAUAACAGAUAACUAAGCUGAAUAGCUUUUCUCUCUGUGAAAGACACACAAAUGCACAGCUAUGACUAAAUUAAGCCACAAUUGUUUAAAAACAAAUAAAG
This 818-nucleotide long non-coding RNA is filed under the name Homo sapiens (human). RNAcentral's name for it is "non-protein coding lnc-HABP4-8:1". Lineage: Eukaryota; Metazoa; Chordata; Mammalia; Primates; Hominidae. The record is from RNAcentral.